AACCCCAACCCCCCAAUUCCCAAAAAUUUCCAGCGGGAGAGGGUGCAGCCGGAGAAAUUGGCCGUGGACCGACCCUCGGAGAAGCUCCUGGGCUUCCUCAGGAAACAUUUCGGGCUCUGCAACCUCAUCCCUCAGGUGAACAAUUUCGUCAUCUUUGAGGGGUUCUUCUCCACCAGGAGCGCCCCCGCCCGGCGCCCGUUCCCGCGGCCGCGCCC
Cyanistes caeruleus (blue tit) is the source of this 215-nucleotide non-coding RNA. Lineage: Eukaryota; Metazoa; Chordata; Aves; Passeriformes; Paridae. The record is from RefSeq and is a predicted model, not a curated record.